RNAcentral lists this unclassified non-coding RNA (654 nucleotides) under Helichrysum simillimum. Its description in RNAcentral is "partial external transcribed spacer". The record is from RNAcentral. Lineage: Eukaryota; Viridiplantae; Streptophyta; Magnoliopsida; Asterales; Asteraceae.
AUGCGUUGUUGGUGAUGACAUUCGUCUUGAGGUGAUGCGGUGUCAUGUUGCCUGUGUAUCCUGGUUUUGAGCUCUUUGAGCUUAAAACAUGUGGAUUAUCGGUUAGUGAUACGGCAUCGCUCCCUUGGUUGAUGAAAGUCGUCCAAUGAUGCGUUGUUCCGUAUGUUUUCUUCUCGCAUCGCUCGGUGCAUUCUGGGGUCAUUUUGGCUUUUGGCAGCUUGCUUGGCAAUUGAGCUUGGUGGGUUGCUAUUGGUUGGGUGUCUUCGGGGAUGUCUACCGUAAAGGUGCAUGAGUGGUGUUUGGUUUGUUACGGGUGGUUGGCUCUUUGCUUGCGCAACAACUUCCACCUGGCAUACCUCUUCAGUCUUGUGUCAAUGCUUCUGUUGCAUUGAAYGCACGGUGGGUUUCUUGUGUUGCAUGCCUAAUUAAUGGUAUCGUCUGAUGAAUCGGUUUUCCUUUUGUCUUGCGUCGCCUAUGUGAUGUGGGAUGAACCUUGAAGCAGCCUUUCUGAUCCACUCUUUUGAUGCAUACGCAUUGAUUUUGUGGCCCAUUGAGUGUUGCUUGGUCUCAUGGAUAUGGAACCUGGUGUGGGCAUGGAAUCCUAAUGGUUUCUUGUUUGCCCAAGUUUAGCUUUUCUAAAACGAUCGUCUAUCA